UAAAAAAACAUUUCCUAUUAUUUUUUUCAAAUUUUACUUUUUAGUAAAAAGGCUAAAAUGCACCUUAAAGACAAGAAGACCCUGUAAAACUUAACAUUAAGUAAUUUCAAUAAUUCUUUUUAUGUUGAGCUGGGGCGGCGAAGAAUUCUAACAUUCUUAGAAUAUUAUAAUUAUUAUUAUUAUACCCAGAAAUUCUGAAAAUUAAAUAAGUUACUUCAGGGAUAACAGCGUUAUACACCUCAAAAGACCUUAUAAACAGGUGUGUUUGCGACCUCGAUGUUGGAUUAUGAUAUCUUUUUUCUGCAGAAGGAAAACAAGAAGGUCUGUUCGACCUUUAAUUUCACCCA
RNAcentral lists this ribosomal RNA (347 nucleotides) under Tityus neibae. RNAcentral's name for it is "partial large subunit ribosomal RNA". The stretch from base 39 to 347 matches the Rfam family "Bacterial large subunit ribosomal RNA", at positions 2048 to 2600 of the family's 2925-position model. The record is from RNAcentral. Lineage: Eukaryota; Metazoa; Arthropoda; Arachnida; Scorpiones; Buthidae.